GACGAACGCUGGCGGCGUGCUUAACACAUGCAAGUCGAACGGAAAGGCCCUGCUCUUGUGGGGUGCUCGAGUGGCGAACGGGUGAGUAACACGUGAGUAACCUGCCCUUGACUUUGGGAUAACUUCAGGAAACUGGGGCUAAUACCGGAUAGGAGCUCCUGCUGCAUGGUGGGGGUUGGAAAGUUUCGGCGGUUGGGGCUGUACUCGCGGCUUAUCAGCUUGCUGGUGGGGUAGUGGCUUACCAAGGCUUUGACGGGUAGCCGGCCUGCGAGGGUGACCGGCCACAUGAGGACUGAGAUACGGCCCGGACUGGUACGGGGGGCAGCGGUGGGAAAUAUUGCACAAUGGGCGGAAGCCUGGUGCAACAACGCCGCGUGCGGGAUGACGGCCUUCGGGUUGUGAACCGCUUUCGCCUGUGACGAAGCGUGAGUGACGGUAAUGGGUAAAGAAGCACCGGCUAACUACGUG
Molecule: ribosomal RNA, 468 nt
Filed under: uncultured bacterium
Lineage: Bacteria
Description: partial 16S ribosomal RNA
Rfam family: Bacterial small subunit ribosomal RNA
Source: RNAcentral